GGUACCGUAGCCAAGCGGUAAGGCAGGGGUCUGCAAAACCUCUAUUCGUGAGUUCGAUUCUCGCCGGUACCUCCA
RNAcentral lists this transfer RNA (75 nucleotides) under Candidatus Magasanikbacteria bacterium CG_4_10_14_0_2_um_filter_33_14. Its description in RNAcentral is "tRNA-Cys". It matches the Rfam family "tRNA". Rfam says of the family: Transfer RNA (tRNA) molecules are approximately 80 nucleotides in length. Their secondary structure includes four short double-helical elements and three loops (D, anti-codon, and T loops). RNAcentral also lists the same sequence under 2 other names. The record is from RNAcentral. Lineage: Bacteria; Candidatus Magasanikiibacteriota.